AACGAACGCUGGCGGCAUGCCUAACACAUGCAAGUCGAACGAGACCUUCGGGUCUAGUGGCGCACGGGUGCGUAACGCGUGGGAACCUGCCCUUAGGUUCGGAAUAACUCCCCGAAAGGGGUGCUAAUACCGGAAAAUGUCUUCGGACCAAAGAUUUAUCGCCUUUGGAUGGGCCCGCGUUGGAUUAGCUAGUUGGUAGGGUAAAAGCCUACCAAGGCGACGAUCCAUAGCUGGUCUGAGAGGAUGAUCAGCCACACUGGGACUGAGACACGGCCCAGACUCCUACGGGAGGCAGCAGUGGGGAAUAUUGGACAAUGGGCGAAAGCCUGAUCCAGCAAUGCCGCGUGAGUGAUGAAGGCCUUAGGGUUGUAAAGCUCUUUUACCCGGGAUGAUAAUGACAGUACCGGGAGAAUAAGCGCCGGCUAACUCCGUG
Molecule: ribosomal RNA, 433 nt
Filed under: uncultured bacterium
Lineage: Bacteria
Description: partial 16S ribosomal RNA
Rfam family: Bacterial small subunit ribosomal RNA
Source: RNAcentral